CAGUCGCCGCGGUAAUACGAAGGGGGCUAGCGUUGCUCGGAAUGACUGGGCGUAAAGGGCGCGUAGGCGGCGAUCAAAGUCAGGCGUGAAAUUCCUGGGCUCAACCUGGGGGCUGCGUUUGAUACUUGAUUGCUAGAGUGGGGAAGAGGGUCGUGGAAUUCCCAGUGUAGAGGUGAAAUUCGGAGAUAUUGGGAAGAACACCGGUGGCGAAGGCGGCAACCUGGUCCUUGACUGACGCUGAGGCGCGAAAGCGUGGGGAGCAAACAGGAUUAGAUACCCCCGUAGUCCCUGUCUCUUAUAC
Molecule: ribosomal RNA, 301 nt
Filed under: uncultured bacterium
Lineage: Bacteria
Description: partial 16S ribosomal RNA
Rfam family: Bacterial small subunit ribosomal RNA
Source: RNAcentral